This 253-nucleotide ribosomal RNA is filed under the name uncultured bacterium. RNAcentral's name for it is "partial 16S ribosomal RNA". It matches the Rfam family "Bacterial small subunit ribosomal RNA", at positions 524 to 776 of the family's 1533-position model. The record is from RNAcentral.
UACGAAGGGGGCUAGCGUUGCUCGGAAUCACUGGGCGUAAAGCGCACGUAGGCGGAUUGUUAAGUCGGGGGUGAAAUCCUGGAGCUCAACUCCAGAACUGCCUUCGAUACUGACGAUCUCGAGUCCGGGAGAGGUGAGCGGAACUCCGAGUGUAGAGGUGAAAUUCGUAGAUAUUCGGAAGAACACCAGUGGCGAAGGCGGCUCACUGGCCCGGUACUGACGCUGAGGUGCGAAAGCGUGGGGAGCAAACAGG